ACGGGUGAGUAACGCGUGGGAAUCUACCUAGUUCUACGGAACAACAGUUGGAAACGACUGCUAAUACCGUAUACGCCCUACGGGGGAAAGAUUUAUCGGAAUUAGAUGAGCCCGCGUAAGAUUAGCUAGUUGGUGAGGUAAUGGCUCACCAAGGCGACGAUCUUUAGCUGGUCUGAGAGGAUGAUCAGCCACACUGGGACUGAGACACGGCCCAGACUCCUACGGGAGGCAGCAGUGGGGAAUAUUGGACAAUGGGCGCAAGCCUGAUCCAGCCAUGCCGCGUGAGUGAUGAAGGCCUUAGGGUUGUAAAGCUCUUUCACCGAUGAAGAUAAUGACGGUAGUCGGAGAAGAAGCCCCGGCUAACUUCGUGCCAGCAGCCGCGGUAAUACGAAGGGGGCUAGCGUUGUUCGGAUUUACUGGGCGUAAAGCGCACGUAGGCGGUUUGUUAAGUCAGAGGUGAAAUCCCGGAGCUCAACUCCGGAACUGCCUUUGAUACUGGCAAGCUAGAGUCCGGAAGAGGUAAGUGGAACUCCUAGUGUAGAGGUGGAAUUCGUAGA
This 557-nucleotide ribosomal RNA is filed under the name uncultured bacterium. RNAcentral describes it as "bacterial SSU rRNA". It matches the Rfam family "Bacterial small subunit ribosomal RNA", at positions 102 to 694 of the family's 1533-position model. The record is from RNAcentral.